ACCUAGCCGCGAUGGAAGUGAAAAUCCCGGAGUGAGGUGCGAGCCGCCUCGGGCGGUGAGCGCCGAGCGAGGAAUUGUAACGGACAGCGGGACGGGUU
This 98-nucleotide unclassified non-coding RNA is filed under the name Kaistella antarctica. RNAcentral's name for it is "Chryseobacterium antarcticum Flavo-1 RNA". Lineage: Bacteria; Pseudomonadati; Bacteroidota; Flavobacteriia; Flavobacteriales; Weeksellaceae. The record is from RNAcentral.